AUUGAACGCUGGCGGCAUGCCUUACACAUGCAAGUCGAACGGCAGCACGGGUGCUUGCACCUGGUGGCGAGUGGCGAACGGGUGAGUAAUACAUCGGAACGUACCUUAUCGUGGGGGAUAACGCAGCGAAAGCUGUGCUAAUACCGCAUACGCCCUGAGGGGGAAAGCGGGGGAUCGCAAGUCCUCGCGCGAUUAGAGCGGCCGAUGCCUGAUUAGCUAGUUGGUGGGGUAAAAGCCCACCAAGGCGACGAUCAGUAGCUGGUCUGAGAGGACGAUCAGCCACACUGGGACUGAGACACGGCCCAGACCCCUACGGGGGGCAGCAGUGGGGAAUUUUGGACAAUGGGGGCAACCCUGAUCCAGCAAUGCCGCGUGAGUGAAGAAGGCCUUCGGGUUGUAAAGCUCUUUUGUCAGGGAAGAAACACCGGCUCUAACACAGUCCGGGAAUGACGGUACCUGAAGAAUAAGCACCGGCUAACUACGUGCCAGCCGCCGCCGUAA
This 501-nucleotide ribosomal RNA is filed under the name uncultured bacterium. RNAcentral describes it as "partial 16S ribosomal RNA". It matches the Rfam family "Bacterial small subunit ribosomal RNA", at positions 29 to 523 of the family's 1533-position model. The record is from RNAcentral.